CUCUCCUCUCAGUUUGUAUAAACAUUAAUAAUUGCUCUGAUUAUUUUCUCUUUUUUACAUCAGUUGAUUUUGCUAUUAAUACUACUAUGUAAUUUCCGAUUAAGCUUUUUCCCAGUUCCCGCCCUCAUUUAUUAUGACUAGUUAGUUACUAUGUUAUGUUACUUCUUGUACAGUAAUUUAACUGCAAUGGUAUUGCGAUUGUUGCUUUACUCUGUGUGUGCAUUUAUGUCUUGCAAUGUUACUCCACUUGAUUUUAUAGCUACAUAUGCAAAUUUCUGUAUGUGGAGAGUGUACUUUAGGUGCUAAAAUGGGCAAAUUUAUAGCAUCAAAGUCUUUCUAGAAGGGGAUAUCGGUUCAGUGUCUGCUUAAGAUGGCCAACUUCCAGCCGAACAAGUCCAACUUAAGGAAAGGGAAGUUGCUUUUUAAAUGUAAAGUAGCAUUGGAAUAAAGUAGUUUUGCGUCAUUGUUGUUUAUCAUUCAGAAUAUUACUGAAUAGGGAGCUCAAAAAAUUUAAUUGGAAAAACUUUCUCUUCUUUCCUGGAAAGAGGAUCAUUGACUGCUGGGCAUAAUAUGGAGAGGAUCUUCUUAUAACUUAUACAAAUAACUAAUAAGUUUAUUUUGCGGAAGCCAAUCAAGCCAUCUAUGCACAUGAGAUAAACAAGAAGAGAAGGGUGGUCGCACUUCACUUGUUAUGUAUUUUUCAAUUGAAUCACAUAAUGCCCCUCUACCUCGACCUUAUGUAACAUGUGGACUGCACUGAAAUUGGUAACUUUUCUAUCCAUUACAGAGGCAAAAGAAAAUAAGCUUCUCUUCACUAGUUUUUUCUUUGAUCAUUAGUUGUCGUGCUUUCCUUUAUGGUGUCUUUUGCCCCCCAUCUAUCUAUGAUACCGCAGUGGUAAACAUUGCUAGCUAAUAACAUUCUGUUUUAGGAUGUUUCUUAGUUUUUCUUUUCCUUAUUCAUCUUUAUAUCCAGCAGUUAUUACAUGAUUCAGUAGCUUUCCUGCGUGUUUCUUUUCUAAAACUGAAAAGAAACGAUAAGGAAAAUGAAACUGCACAGAAGAAGUUACUGGAAUUUGUGAUUUUGGCAAGAGAAGAGGAUGGAUAUAAGCAAGAUUGAAGUAGCCAGAAAGAUAGAAAAACAUAGCGAGAGAGUUAUUAGAAGGAUGGACUAAGCAGCUUCUGAGCAGCACUCUGGCCUCAUAACUGAGGAAGCUUCAGAUUGCCGUAUAGCAACUGUAUUAGUAACUUCCAACAAUAUUCUCUCACUGUUUACAUUAAAAUGCAGACUUCAAGGCAAAAUUUGGCAUCAUGUGUCAUUGACAGUAAAAAAGAGAACCUUUAAAAGAGCUUGUCUUAGAUCAAAUUCAAGUCAAAGUUGCAGCAUGCCCUGACGAGAAAUCCAAUGGCUUUCAAUAAGAGAGCAUGCAAUGGUGUUGUGAGUUGCUUGAACUUCAUCCAUGCCUUUGAUGCUGCAGCUUGUUUGAUGGAGAGCUUAAGUGUUUGAUUCAGUCCUCUUUGGGUUCAUGCUUUCACACUUGCGGAUCAAUGCAUUUGGAGGUCUACAGAGGAGAUAAUUGAAAGACUUCAAGUGUCUUUCUCUCUUUUUAUCCUCUAUGUGUGCUAUUUGCACAUUCUGUUGGAUGUGAUAUUUCUCAGCUUGUCUAAUAAGGGUUUGUGGAAGGUGGUCCUGAAUUACUUUGGUGUACAGUGGGUGAUUCAGGUAUUGUUAGAGAUGUGCUGCACAACUAGGUUGGUGGACAGGGGUGAAGAAGACAAAGGCAUGGAAGGCUACUUGGUUAGCUCUUAUAUGGGUCGAAUGGAGAGAGAAAUAUGAGAGCUUUUGAGGGGAUUGAAAAUGAUUUUCUACACUUGAGGAAUAGCCUUUUGUCUUUGAUUACUUUUUGGUGCACUCGCAAAAUCCCUACUUGUAUAGACGAAUGGGUGUCUUUCGUAGAGAAUCAUGUUUUGCUGUAGAUUCUCUACUUUUUGGUAUAUCUCUUGUAUCGGGAGCUUUCCCCAUUUUGUUAAUAGUAUCAUUUAUCCUUUCAAAAUAAUACAUAAGGACCAGUCUUACCUCUUCCAAAUACGAACAUAAUUGGUUGUCGUUAGGUCGGUAAAACAAAAAGUGGAAGGCUAUCUUGAGCAAUUUAAAGCUCGUCUAGUAGCUCAAGAAUAUAAACAAUACCAUGUAUUAGACUAUGAUAAGACGUUUAAUCCAGUGGUGAAACCAAUCACCAUCUGCACUGUCCUAACUCUUGCGACAUCUACGUUUUGGUUAAUUCACUAAUUGGAUGUUAUGAAUGCUUUUUAAAUAGCACUCUUAGUAACCUGGUGUACCUGAAACAACCUCUUGUCUUUGUUCACCCAAACAAGCCCCAAGGGUGUUUAAGUUACUGUCAAUUGUUUAAAGGUAUUUUGGCAUGUCAGGUGAUGCGGUCUUGGAUAGCGCAGCUAGCACGGAGCUCAUUGUGGAAGAAUAGAGUAUUUUAGCAUUGUUUCUUGUUUCCUUCUAAAAAUAAGACUUUUUUGUUUUUUUGUUUCCUUUCAUAAGUUAUUUUAGCAUUUCUUUUCAUGAAGGGAGAUGUUGUUUCCUUUUCUUGGUAGGUUUCUGGUUUCCAUAUUAUUAUCCUUGGAGAGCAGAGGCUUUCUGUUACUUAUUUCUAUUAUUUUCUUGUUUUAGUUAUUUUCUUUCUUCACUGGAAUAAGAAUUGUCUUUUCCUAACUUUAUGUAAUAGCUAUAAAUACUUGAUAGACUUAUUUUUUGGAGA
Molecule: long non-coding RNA, 2768 nt
Organism: Nicotiana tabacum (common tobacco)
Lineage: Eukaryota; Viridiplantae; Streptophyta; Magnoliopsida; Solanales; Solanaceae
Source: RefSeq, a predicted model, not a curated record